CCCUUAGAUGUUCUGGGCCGCACGCGCGCUACACUGAUGCAUUCAACGAGUUUCUUCCUGGUCCGAGAGGAAUGGGUAACCUUUUGAAAGUGCAUCGUGAUAGGGAUAGACUAUUGCAAUUAUUGGUCUUCAACGAGGAAUUCCUAGUAGACGUAGUUCAUCAGACUGCAUCGAUUACGUCCCUGCCCUUUGUACACACCGCCCGUCGCUACUACCGAUUGAACGGUUUAGUGAGGGCCUCGGAUUGGUCUCGGCCCGCUCUUUACCGGGCGGUGCCGUUGGUCGAGAAGACGCUCGAACUUGAUCGUUUAGAGGAAGUAAAAGUCGUAACA
Molecule: ribosomal RNA, 332 nt
Filed under: uncultured eukaryote
Lineage: Eukaryota
Description: partial 18S ribosomal RNA
Rfam family: Eukaryotic small subunit ribosomal RNA
Source: RNAcentral